AGUGUAGGCGGCUUCGUAAGUCGGAUGUGAAAGCCCCGGGCUUAACCUGGGAAUGGCAUUCGAUACUGCGCGGCUAGAGUCUGAUAGAGGGAAGUGGAAUUCCAGGUGUAGCGGUGAAAUGCGUAGAGAUCUGGAGGAACACCAGUGGCGAAGGCGGCUUCCUGGAUCAAGACUGACGCUGAGGCUCGAAAGCGUGGGAGCAAACA
Molecule: ribosomal RNA, 206 nt
Filed under: uncultured bacterium
Lineage: Bacteria
Description: partial 16S ribosomal RNA
Rfam family: Bacterial small subunit ribosomal RNA
Source: RNAcentral